This 440-nucleotide ribosomal RNA is filed under the name uncultured bacterium. Its description in RNAcentral is "partial 16S ribosomal RNA". It matches the Rfam family "Bacterial small subunit ribosomal RNA", at positions 338 to 795 of the family's 1533-position model. The record is from RNAcentral.
CCUACGGGUGGCAGCAGUGAGGAAUAUUGGUCAAUGGGGGAAACCCUGAUGCAGCGACGCCGCGUGGGUGAAGAAGCGCCUCGGCGCGUAAAGCCCUGUCAGCAGGGAAGAAAAUGACGGUACCUGAAGCAGACGCCCCGGCUAACUACGUGCCAGCAGCCGCGGUCAUACGUAGGGGGCAAGCGUUAUCCGGAUUUACUGGGUGUAAAGGGGGCGCAGACGGCGAUGCAAGCCAGGAGUGAAAGCCCGGGGCCCAACCCCGGGACUGCUCUUGGAACUGCGUGGCUAGAGUGCAGGAGGGGCAGGCGGAAUUCCUGGUGUAGCGGUGAAAUGCGUAGAUAUCAGGAGGAACACCGGUGGCGAAGGCGGCCUGCUGGACUGCAACUGACGUUGAGGCCCGAAAGCGUGGGGAGCAAACAGGAUUAGAUACCCGGGUAGUC